RNAcentral lists this ribosomal RNA (301 nucleotides) under uncultured bacterium. RNAcentral describes it as "partial 16S ribosomal RNA". It matches the Rfam family "Bacterial small subunit ribosomal RNA", at positions 509 to 807 of the family's 1533-position model. The record is from RNAcentral.
CAGCAGCCGCGGGAAUACGGAGGAUCCGAGCGUUAUCCGGAAUUAUUGGGUUUAAAGGGUGCGUAGGCGGAUAGAUAAGUCAGUGGUGAAAGACGGUGGCUCAACCAUCGCAGUGCCGUUGAUACUGUUUAUCUUGAAUAUGGAUGAGGUAGGCGGAAUGUGGCAAGUAGCGGUGAAAUGCAUAGAUAUGCCACAGAACACCGAUUGCGAAGGCAGCUUACCAAGGCAAAAUUGACGCUGAGGCACGAAAGCGUGGGGAUCGAACAGGAUUAGAUACCCCGGUAGUCCCUGUCUCUUAUAC